GCGGACGUAGUUCAGUUGGUAGAGCCCAGGAUUGUGAUUCCUGUUGUCGCGGGUUCGAGCCCCGUCGUCCGCCCCA
RNAcentral lists this transfer RNA (76 nucleotides) under Marinicellaceae bacterium. RNAcentral's name for it is "tRNA-His". It matches the Rfam family "tRNA". Rfam says of the family: Transfer RNA (tRNA) molecules are approximately 80 nucleotides in length. Their secondary structure includes four short double-helical elements and three loops (D, anti-codon, and T loops). Lineage: Bacteria; Pseudomonadati; Pseudomonadota; Gammaproteobacteria; Lysobacterales; Marinicellaceae. The record is from RNAcentral. RNAcentral also lists the same sequence under 1 other name.